Molecule: small nucleolar RNA, 84 nt
Organism: Rhododendron vialii
Lineage: Eukaryota; Viridiplantae; Streptophyta; Magnoliopsida; Ericales; Ericaceae
Product: small nucleolar RNA snR60/Z15/Z230/Z193/J17
Exons: 1
Source: RefSeq, a predicted model, not a curated record
CAGGGUCACAUGAUGAUUUUUAAGCAUAGUUCAAAUGAUCAAUAUAUGAUUCAAAACACCUUUCGCCUUUUUCUGAUGACUCUA